UACCAACUCGUCUGCAAAGAAUAAGAUUACAACAGUGUAUAUGUAAGACAGGAGGCUCUGUCACGUGGAAGCUCUUAGUUUCAGUAUCCGGAACCCAGUGAAGGAGUAUUUCAAGUCUGAAUUUUUCUUACGCGUUUGUCUGAACCCUCCAGCCCUCAAGAUCUAGGCACCUCAAGAUCCCAACAUCAUGACCUCAGUUUCAACACAGUUGUUCUUAGUUCUCAUUUCACUGCUUUUGGUGCUGCCUGCUGUUGAAGCAGUCGAAGCUGGAGAUGCAAUCGCUCUCUUGUUGGGUGUGGUUCUGAGCAUUACAGGCAUUUGUGCUUGUUUGGGUGUAUACGCACGGAAAAGAAAUGGACAAAUGUGACUUUGAAGGGCCCUCUGAAUCAAAACUUAUCCUGAAGACCUUCAUGCAGUUAAGGUUGAAAGUGUGUCUAAACAUUCCCAUAUAAAUGGGAACAAAUUGAUAUGUGUUCAAUGGGGGAAAACGGUUUCUUCACAACAAAUAAUGCACUGAAAAAUGCUGCCUAUAACUUGUUUCUGCUACUUUAAAAAGGGUCAAAGAUAUAAGAGUACUGAAAUCUGCAUAAGUAAUAUUUCAUAGUUUCAUAAUUCUCAAGGCACAUGAAAUAGAAAAGAAAUUUUUGCCCAGAAUCCUAGGAAAUUGCCAGUGUUUUCUUACAAUCACUGCCUCCUGAAUUGUUGAGGAAUCUUCUCCAUAUUUUUAGUGGAUUAUUGUUUAGCUGUCUUCCAUAUUAAUACUGUACUUAGAUAAUCAAACACAGUCAAAAGCUAGAACAUUUCAUCAGAGAAAUAACUUAGUCUUACCUAACAUUAAAAUGAAGAAAAAACUUAUGUAAAAAAAAUUCUUUAUAUUGACAUUGAAAUGGAGUAGAUUCAAUGUUUGGGGAGAGGGGAACCCUUUGUAUUAAUUGAAUAACAUCCCCAUAGUGAAAAGUACUAUAUUAAAUAUAAACCCAUCAUGUUGUAAGUUGAUGUGUGGUGUCCAUUUCUGUCUAUUUCAGGCUGCUUUUGUCUUUGUGUGGACUUUUAUAUAAGCUAAGUGGAAAAGGGCAUGCCUUAACUGAUUACAUUGGCUUGUAGAAGCAGUCAGUAAAAAUGAAAAAUGGGCAACAUUUAAGUGAAGUCCCUAGAAAAAAAAUCCAGUUACAAAAGGGAAAUGGUAUGGCCUGUACACCAGCCAGUUGAGAUAUACUCCUAGUCUUGCUACUUAGUAUUCUCAAUCCAGCAGUAUCACAUGGGUUGGCUUACUAGACAUGCAGAAUCUCAGAAUCCACCUAGGCAUAUCAGAUGAGAAUUUACUUUUGUUUCAAGAGCCCAGGAUAAUUUGUGUGCACAUGAAAGCUUAAGAAAACAACUUAUUAGAAACAGAAUCAUGCCAAGUACAUGAUGAAAUUCAGAUUCCCUCCUCUGGUUGUAAGUAAUUAUAGUUUGAGCCUAUGUUUAACAAACAUCCAGUGAUUCUUCAGAUUCUAUAGAAGCAGACAGCAUAAAAUAG
Molecule: long non-coding RNA, 1519 nt
Organism: Condylura cristata (star-nosed mole)
Lineage: Eukaryota; Metazoa; Chordata; Mammalia; Eulipotyphla; Talpidae
Exons: 3
Source: RefSeq, a predicted model, not a curated record